RNAcentral lists this ribosomal RNA (484 nucleotides) under uncultured bacterium. RNAcentral describes it as "partial 16S ribosomal RNA". It matches the Rfam family "Bacterial small subunit ribosomal RNA", at positions 30 to 507 of the family's 1533-position model. The record is from RNAcentral.
AUUGAACGCUGGCGGCAGGCCUAACACAUGCAAGUCGAGCGGAUGAAGGGAGCUUGCUCCUGGAUUCAGCGGCGGACGGGUGAGUAAUGCCUAGGAAUCUGCCUGGUAGUGGGGGAUAACGUCCGGAAACGGGCGCUAAUACCGCAUACGUCCUGAGGGAGAAAGUGGGGGAUCUUCGGACCUCACGCUAUCAGAUGAGCCUAGGUCGGAUUAGCUAGUUGGUGGGGUAAAGGCCUACCAAGGCGACGAUCCGUAACUGGUCUGAGAGGAUGAUCAGUCACACUAGAACUGAGACACGGUCCAGACUCCUACGGGAGGCAGCAGUGGUGAAUAUUGGACAAUGGGCGAAAGCCUGAUCCAGCCAUGCCGCGUGUGUGAAGAAGGUCUUCGGAUUGUAAAGCACUUUAAGUUGGGAGGAAGGGCAGUAAGUUAAUACCUUGCUGUUUUGACGUUACCAACAGAAUAAGCACCGGCUAACUUCGUG